GGAGACGCAGUCUCCCUCAUUCU
This 23-nucleotide small nuclear RNA is filed under the name Arabidopsis thaliana (thale cress). RNAcentral's name for it is "snRNA_18599". Lineage: Eukaryota; Viridiplantae; Streptophyta; Magnoliopsida; Brassicales; Brassicaceae. The record is from RNAcentral.